RNAcentral lists this ribosomal RNA (446 nucleotides) under uncultured bacterium. RNAcentral's name for it is "bacterial SSU rRNA". It matches the Rfam family "Bacterial small subunit ribosomal RNA", at positions 330 to 793 of the family's 1533-position model. The record is from RNAcentral.
GCCAGACUCCUACGGGAGGCAGCAGUAGGGAAUUUUGCGCAAUGUGGGAAACCCUGACGCAGCAACGCCGCGUGAUUGAUGAAGCCCUUCGGGGUGUAAAGAUCUGUCAGUGGGGACGAAACUUGACGGUACCCACAGAGGAAGCAUCGGCUAACUCCGUGCCAGCAGCCGCGGUAAUACGGAGGAUGCGAGCGUUAUCCGGAUUUAUUGGGUUUAAAGGGUGCGUAGGCGGAUCGUUAAGUCAGUGGUCAAUUGGGGGGCCCAAACCCCUUCCCGCCAUUGAAACUGGCGCUCUUGAGUGGAAGAGAAGUAUGCGGAAUGCGUGGUGUAGCGGUGAAAUGCAUAGAUAUCACGCAGAACCCCGAUUGCGAAGGCAGCGUACCGGCGCCCAACUGACGCUGAAGCACGAAAGCGUGGGUAUCGAACAGGAUUAGAUACCCCUGUAA